This 186-nucleotide ribosomal RNA is filed under the name Escherichia coli. RNAcentral describes it as "partial 16S ribosomal RNA". It matches the Rfam family "Bacterial small subunit ribosomal RNA", at positions 1360 to 1533 of the family's 1533-position model. The record is from RNAcentral. Lineage: Bacteria; Pseudomonadati; Pseudomonadota; Gammaproteobacteria; Enterobacterales; Enterobacteriaceae. RNAcentral also lists the same sequence under 1 other name.
CGGUGAAUACGUUCCCGGGCCUUGUACACACCGCCCGUCACACCAUGGGAGUGGGUUGCAAAAGAAGUAGGUAGCUUAACCUUCGGGAGGGCGCUUACCACUUUGUGAUUCAUGACUGGGGUGAAGUCGUAACAAGGUAACCGUAGGGGAACCUGCGGUUGGAUCACCUCCUUACCUUAAAGAAGC